This 1062-nucleotide long non-coding RNA is filed under the name Homo sapiens (human). Its description in RNAcentral is "HSALNT0229480". Lineage: Eukaryota; Metazoa; Chordata; Mammalia; Primates; Hominidae. The record is from RNAcentral.
GUGAGAAAGAGGCUGUGGGCACCCACAGUGCCAGAGAGCCGUCCCCGCCGGGUUCUUUGUGUGUGUAGCCUCGUUUCUGCUUCUGUUUUCAUUGUGGGGCUUGGGAGGAAAUCGCCAACCUUCAGCACUGGGGCAGCCCCACCAUGGCCAGUGGUUUGUCAAUCCCUUUUGUCCCUGCCUGUGUCCAAAGUCUGGGGGUUUCUGCGGGAGGGAAGGCGCCCAAAUGUAUAGCAGCUGGCCUUGACUGGGUUCGGUUUUGGUGAGGGAGUUUGAUUAGGCUUAGGGCCGCCUGGGCAUGAAACAGGAUCCCAAAACCUCAGCCCCAUGACUCUCCCACUCUCCCACCAGGGGAAGGCAGAUGUUUUGGGGCCGUGAUGGGCUGGCCUGGCGGUGCCGAGGUGCCUGGAGGCAGGACUGUUUCAGGACCCCGAUGGGGACGUAGAGGAUGCGGGAAGCCCAUGAGUGCCUCCUGUGCGCGAGCGCUUUGGUGAGCGCCGUGCAGCCGCCUUCUUGGUUGCUGGUGGACGUUCAGCCCUAAUACCCUGCUCUCUCGCCCGCAGCCCCAUCUGAAGCCCCUGAAAUUUGAACCUUGGUUUAGGGAUUUGGCCUGUUUGUCAGUGGGUUUUCCACAUGUGGUUUCCACAGGAACUUUUGCUGUUUAAGUGCUUUUUUAAACGAUGAAGUUAUCUUUUUCCUAUUGGGAUGAGCUCACUGGCUUUUGUGUGGGCUGCAGGCGCUGGGUGAUUGGAAGGGCCAUGGACUUCUGAACCCAGAGGAGAAGCCCUGUGUACAAAAGCCGCUGGGUCUCAGCAGUCCCCGAGGAGGUGGUUGUGAACGUAGCACCAACUUCUUUGAUCUUCUGAGAUCGCUGCGUUUUUCUAGUAAAGCCCCCAUGGAAAGCUUAGCAUGCAGGCAGGUGGGUCGUGGCCUCCCUCUUGAGUGAGCUGAAGGAUUUAAGAACUGUCAGCUUCCUAUAUUAUAGAUGGGAUGGGGUUUAACGUCUGCAGCAGCCAGACUUCGUAAGGGCCAAGAAACUUGUGUGACCUUGUGUGAUCUUGAGGG